UUUUCCCUCUUUCCUUCUAUAAUCCACUAAAUGAAUAAUCUAACCUCACUCUGCAUUCAUGCUGAUCCGUGUCUCUGUCUAUCGUCCGUUACUAUGUGUCUGCCUGCCUGGGAACAGUCACCUUCAGAGACCUGCAGCAUGGUCCCGAGGCAUGCCCAUUUGUCUGUCUCUCCUCAUGACCUGCUGCAGUCACUCAGGGAACUUUGGUGUCCCUGCCUGGGACUGGCUUCUCUUGGGACCUGCUGAUCACUGCCUGUUGCCACAUGACCUGCUGCCACUGCUUGGGGACCUGUAGCAUUUCUGCCACUGCAGACACUCGGGGAUUCACAGCAUUUUUAAUUAAUCCACUAGAGUUUGAAUCUCACAUUCCAUUCUUCAAUCCAAACAGCUUUUUGUAGCACAAUCUAAUAGAUAAUAUCCAGAAGACUCGCGAAACAGGAACCCUGAAGUAUUCUUUCUCCUUGUUUAACUUUAUGUAUGAUUCACCUGGUACCUUAAAAAGACAGAUCACUAACACAGAGACAGAGACCUACAUUGGAGCACUGGACUGAGCUCCC
Non-coding RNA from Myodes glareolus (Bank vole), 557 nucleotides. The record is from RefSeq and is a predicted model, not a curated record. NCBI's taxonomy places the organism in Eukaryota, Metazoa, Chordata, Mammalia, Rodentia, Cricetidae.